CUCCCUCUACCUCCUCUCCUACCUUCUCCUCCUCUCCUCCUCUACUACCUCCUCCUCCACCUCCUCCUCUCCUACCUCCUCCACCUCCUCCUCUCCUACCUCCUCCACUUCCUCUUCUCCUACCUCCUCCUCUCUCUCCUCCUGCUCUCCCUCCUCUCCUACCUCCUCCUCUCUCUCCUCCUGCUCUCCCUCCUCUCCUACCUCCUCCUCUCUUCCUCCUCUCCCUCCUACCCUGGCCAGGGAGAGAGAUGAAUGGAUAGACACAUCUAAGAUGCUUUUCUAUCAUUUAUAGGUCUGUAUUCAUAAAGCAACUGAGUAUGAGUGCUGAUCUAGGAUCAGUGUAGCCUUUUAGAUUGUUGUGAAUAAGAACUACAUGGACAGAGAGGAUCUGAUCUGAGAUCAGCACUCCUACUGUGAGACGCUUUGUAAAUAUGGGCAGUUCUCUGUAACUAAUCGCUAACUUUCCACUGAUAUUAGGAGUUUAGUCUGAACAUUUGUUUCUCAGGCCAUGGCUUUCAGCUCACUCAAGGUCCUGCGACGGACUCCUUUCAACUCAAUGUUUCAGUCUUGUGACAACACACAACGACACUAAACCACACGACACACUAAUUCUGUACAGGGCUAUUUAACUGGUGUUUAUUAAUUAACAAAUGUCUUUGAAAAGAAUAAACAAUGAUUUUUUUUGUGCCUUUUUUCUCCUCCAUUUGGUUUGUAGUUUGUACAGCGAAACAUGGCUCUAAACUAACCCAGUUUAAGCUGGUAAUUGUACCUUAAAGCUGUUCAUGGGUCAGGAAAGGUUAGGAUGAUCAGGAUAAUCUGGUUAGUUACAUUACGCUCCUGAUCUUUUCUUAGAUUGGAUAGUUUGCCAAUCUGAGAGUCCAGUCCUGAUGGUCAAAUCCCAGAUACAAACUAAUCUCUACAGGCGAGGCUGUUGUCGUUAGUUUAGUAAAUUAGAUAGCCGCUCUAAAGACGUUAAUCUCGUUUAAAGGCCCAGUUCAGUCAAAAACAUAUAUAUUUUUUAAUAUAUAUACUUUAUGACAAUGUUAUUAUGUUAUUGACAAUGUUAUUUUAGAGUAAGAGCUGUUUUGAAAAGGCUGCUUGAAAUGCCAGCCUGUUUUCUGUGGGAUGGAGUUGUAAUUUGUUUGUCUCCCAUCACAAUACCAUCACAGCAGUACAGUGUGCCUUAACUGCUCACCAAACAUGUCACGUUGCAUUUGUAAGCAUUGCAAAAUACGUACACACAUACAUUAUUCAAUCAUUUCAUACAAACUGGUCGCGUACUUCAACAGAGAUUUGCGUAGCCAGGCGCUAAAAUAGAAUGUGGUUCUAUUGGAACAGAACUAUUGGACCAGAACGUGGUUCUAUUGGAACAGAACUAUUGGACCAGAACGUGGUUCUAUUGGACCAGAAUGUGGUUCUAUUUAAACAGAAUUUGGUUCUAUUGGAACAGAACUUAGUUCUAUUUGAGCGGAACUAUUGGACCAGAACAUGGUUCUAUAGGAACCGAACUUGGUUCUAUUUGAACCGAACUAUUGGACCAGAACGUGGUUCUAUUGGAACAGAACGUGGUUCUAUUGGAACAGAACGUGGUUCUAUUGGAACAGAACUUAGUUCUAUUUGAGCGGAACUAUUGGACCAGAACGUGGUUCUAUUUGAACAGAACGUGGUUCUAUUUGAACAGAACGUGGUUCUAUUGGAACAGAACGUGGUUCUAUUUGAACAGAACGUGGUUCUAUUUGAACAGAGCCUGGUUCUAUUUAAACAGAACGUGGUUCUAUUUGAACAGAACGUGGUUCUAUUUGAACAGAGCCUGGUUCUAUUUGAACAGAACUUAGUUCUAUUUGAGCGGAACUAUUGGACCAGAACAUGGUUCUAUAGGAACCGAACUUGGUUCUAUUUGAACCAAACUAUUGGACCAGAACGUGGUUCUAUUGUAACAGAACGUGGUUCUAUUGGAACAGAACGUGGUUCUAUUGGAACAGAACUUAGUUCUAUUUGAGCGGAACUAUUGGACCAGAACGUGGUUCUAUUUGAACAGAACGUGGUUCUAUUGGAACAAAACGUGGUUCUAUUUGAACAGAACGUGGUUCUAUUUGAACAGAGCCUGGUUCUAUUUGAACAGAGCCUGGUUCUAUUUGACCAGAACCUGGUUCUAUUUGAGAUGCUGCAACAAAACCGAAGGUGCACAGCUAUGGGGUUGGCUUAGAUUGUUGAACACAC
This is a long non-coding RNA of Oncorhynchus tshawytscha (Chinook salmon), 2220 nucleotides long. The record is from Ensembl. NCBI's taxonomy places the organism in Eukaryota, Metazoa, Chordata, Actinopteri, Salmoniformes, Salmonidae.